UACGGAGGGGGCUAGCGUUGUUCGGAAUUACUGGGCGUAAAGCGCACGUAGGCGGCGAUUUAAGUCAGAGGUGAAAGCCCGGGGCUCAACCCCGGAAUAGCCUUUGAGACUGGAUUGCUAGAAUCUUGGAGAGGCGAGUGGAAUUCCGAGUGUAGAGGUGAAAUUCGUAGAUAUCGGAAGGAACACCAGUGGCGAAAGCGGCAUCCUGGACCAACACUGACACUGAGGAGCGAAAGCCAGGGGAGCAAACGGG
This 253-nucleotide ribosomal RNA is filed under the name uncultured bacterium. RNAcentral describes it as "partial 16S ribosomal RNA". It matches the Rfam family "Bacterial small subunit ribosomal RNA", at positions 524 to 776 of the family's 1533-position model. The record is from RNAcentral.